UACGUAGGGUGCAAGCGUUGUCCGGAAUUAUUGGGCGUAAAGAGCUCGUAGGCGGUUUGUCGCGUCUGCUGUGAAAACCCGAGGCUCAACCUCGGGCUUGCAGUGGGUACGGGCAGACUAGAGUGCGGUAGGGGAGAAUGGAAUUCCUGGUGUAGCGGUGGAAUGCGCAGAUAUCAGGAGGAACACCGAUGGCGAAGGCAGUUCUCUGGGCCGUAACUGACGCUGAGGAGCGAAAGCAUGGGGAGCGAACAGG
RNAcentral lists this ribosomal RNA (253 nucleotides) under uncultured bacterium. Its description in RNAcentral is "partial 16S ribosomal RNA". It matches the Rfam family "Bacterial small subunit ribosomal RNA", at positions 524 to 776 of the family's 1533-position model. The record is from RNAcentral. RNAcentral also lists the same sequence under 1 other name.